ACAAAGCAGUGGAUAUUGCUGUUCCAAUUCCUGUAAUUAUUCACUGUGCACAUGUAGAUGAAGAAAAUCCCCAAGAGGCACAAGACAAGAGCACCUCUAGUGGAUGUAUAAUUUCCUCCACAAGGAAGACAACAGUUUCCUGCCUUAGUGAUGCAGUUUGAGAUCCAAGGAAAAAUUUUCUACUGAAAAAUACCAGAGUCAGAAGAAGGCACUUUAAUGGGGUUUCCUACAUUUGCUACAUGCUCUCAGGAAAACCUUACAGACCUUGGUUCCUUGUCGCUGGCUCCCUCUGCAGCUCCUCCCAUGGAAAGGGGAGAGACAUAAAAA
This is a long non-coding RNA of Neopelma chrysocephalum (saffron-crested tyrant-manakin), 327 nucleotides long. RefSeq lists it as uncharacterized. The record is from RefSeq and is a predicted model, not a curated record. NCBI's taxonomy places the organism in Eukaryota, Metazoa, Chordata, Aves, Passeriformes, Pipridae. The transcript is spliced from 3 exons.